UGAAAUGGUGUACUUUUUAUUGUCAUUUAUUCAUUGUAAUACAUGAUAUAGUUUCUAAUUAUUUUAAUGACUGAUUAUUAUAAUUGUUGCUCAUGAAUCGCGUGCCGACUGUGGCUGAGUUCGCACACGCAUCUGUGUUGGCCAUGGGCAGAUAGUCUGGAGUGCCUCCCCCCAAAUCCACCAGGGCUCUCAGCCCCCAGCAUGGCCUGCGCUGGUUCGCAUGGUGGCAAUUCGGCAGGUUCCCACGAAAGCAAUCAGAAGCAUGCAAGCCUUAUUGGGGUCCAGACUCAGAACCCAUGAGACACUGGUUCUGUUGCAUUCUGUUUGCUAAAGAGAGUCAAAAGGCCGGACAGUGCUUCUCACCCAUGGGUGGGGAGACAAGACCCUCCAUGAGUGUAUUGGCAAGGCACUGGGGUCGUUGGCAGUCUUACCACCUCUCUGUCUGGAUUCCCCUUUGAAACCUUUGCUGUUCUCAUUCAUUUGGGGAAUAUAAAUAAUAGUGAAAGGGAAUAUAAGGGAAGGGAGAAGAAAUGUGUGGGAAAUAUCAGAAAGGGAGACAGAACGUAAAGACUGCUAACUCUGGGAAACGAACUAGGGGUGGUAGAAGGGGAGGAGGGCGGGGGGUGGGAGUGAAUGGGUGACGGGCACUGGGUGUUAUUCUGUAUGUUAGUAAAUUGAACACCAAUAAAAUAUAAAAAAAAAAAAAAGAAACCUUUGCUGAUCAUUUUAAUGAAAGUCAAAGUGUGGAAAAGAGCAAUUAGGCUUUCAGAAGGGCGAUUAAGGGAAAUGGUUCAUUGACACCUGAUAAAUUCCAACUGUUCAGGCCCAAUUUUAAUCUUCACUCCUAUUCCCAGGGAAACAGUCGUCUAAAGAAGCCAAAAUUAGAAGCCCAACAGCAUUGAGAGUUAUUUCUACAGACUGCAAACCUUGAAAAUAAUGGGAAAGUGUAUAAACUUAGCAAAAAUGGAAGUUUGGUAAUGCAUUAGCACCACCACCAGAGAUGGCUCUCCUGCCUUCCUGCAGAAUGCACAUAUUCCAAGUAAUACAGCAGGACAGUGCCUGGGACACGAGUGAACAAUACACAUACACGCGAUCACUCUUAUCACUCAGAUUCCACAAAAUCUUACUAAGAACCUACUCAGUGCCACAUGUGCUAACAAAUGCAUGUCGUAGGAUUUAAUAAAUGUCCACUGAGUAGAAGGGCAGCUGAUCACAUAGGUUUACUGCUUGAUUCCCAGACUGAUGCACUCACAGGGGAACCCAGCACAAAUGGGUCUGCAGAAGCCAAGAAUGUGGAUUAAUCAGAUUUGUGCGAGGCUCUCUCCCCAACUCUUCAUUUAGAUAACAUGGCAAAUAGAAUGUGAACCCUCCUCCCCAGUUCACAUCCUAAACCCUGGAAACUGUGGAUGAAGAGGUUGCCUUCCAUGCUCCAAGGAGACUUUGCAGAUGUGAUUAAGUUAAUGAUCUCGAGGCAAGGAGAUUGUCCUGGAUCAUCCGGGGGGCCAUGAGCUGACAGAUUCGGAGAGGAGGGACACAGGGGGUCACAGUGAGAGGAGAGGUGAGGUCAGAAGGUGCUGAGCAGCUGGCUUUGCAGAUGGAGGGUGGGUCUCUAAUGCAAGGAGCGUGGGCAGCCCCUCACCCUGGAAAGGGAAGGAAAUCAUUUUCCCUGAGAGCCUCCUGAAUAAAGGCAGCUCUGUCAACACCUUGAUGUAAAGCUUCUGCCUCCAGAACUGUCCGAGGAUAAAUGCUUUAAGCCACUGAGUGUGCGGUCAUUUGUUACAGCAGCCGUAGCAAUCAGUGCGGAUGGGAAUGAGUGCAGAGGCUUCCUAAUUAGUUCAAACAUCAGCCUCUCCAGUCCCACCAAGGAGCCCAGCACGUGGCUGAGGUGGUGGUCGCCAGAACCAGACAGCACGUCAUCCAGCUAUCCACUCCCUGUGCCUCAGUGUCCCCAUCCACACAAUGGGCAGUAGUCCUAGCUCAUGCCUCACAGUGUGGAUAGAAGGACUAAGUGCAUUAAUGCAGGAAAUGUGCCUCUAGCUUCUAGCACUGGGGAAAAAAGUUAACAAUAUCAAACAUAUGUCUGAUUCUUAGGGAGCUUCAAAUCUUUUUUUUUAACUAUACUUCAGUUACAUUACACGAGGUCCCUGGGAACCUGGGCUUCCCUGGGGCGUCAGCAUUGGCCCCCGGGACCCUACUGCCCAGCAUGAGGUGGCUAAGUGGCUGGUGCUUGGCAUACAGGAAGCACACGAGUGUCUGCAGUUACUGCUUUUCCCAAUGGGGCAGCCUUGGCGAAAUCUCUGUAAAAGUCAGCCCAGCUCUGAGAGCCACAGUGUGGGUAGCAGACGUGCUCCUGGAGCCUGUCCUCCUGGGUCACCCUGUAGCAGAGCUCCUACAGGUGAACUGUUGCUUUGGCACUUCUGGAAAACCUACGGGCCCCAGCGGCAGUGUUGGCAGGAGGCCCCACCCCAGAGCCGCCACCACAGCCUGUUUAUUCUUGGGGCCAGGUGGGUCGGAGUCCAGGCUGCUAUCUUCUGCAAGCCUCCAUGAUGGCUCGUCUCCUCCUGCACACAUCUGCUCCCUACAACCCACCUCUGUACAAGUGCGAAGUCUGACCAUGCUAAAAACUCAGACUUGAAGACCCCUUGCCAUCAAGGGCCCCCAAGACCCAAGCUCAUUGCCCACCUUGCUAUGCUUUACUCAUGAGCUCCAUACACAGUGGCCUCCUCCCCUACUCCCCCAGCACAGGGGCUCCCUUCCCCUCCAGCACGCUGGCAUUUACUCUUCCCACUCUGGGAAGAGUGACAAGUUCUCUUUCCAGCUGCUGGCACACCUCCACCCUUCCCAUCAUUCCCACUGUGGUGCAAGGGCCCCUCCCUGACUCAGGGCCCACAGAUCUCACCUGCUCACCCACACCCCAGCCACUCAGAAGCCCUGUUCUAUCUCCUCACCACACAUGUCACUACCUGGAAAUAUCUUCCUAAAACCUGAUCUGUGUGCCUUCCAGCCUGUAACCACUCUCGAGGGGGAAGAGCUUGCCUGUCCUGGCUCAUGGCCGCAGUCCGGGGUGCAACAGGGUCUGACACCUAACAAGUGCUUCACAAUUGCUUGUUGAGACAAUGCAUGGAUGGAUAAAUGAGCGAAUCUCACAUGAGGUCAACCUGGAUGAGAUCAGAGCCGAUUGCAGUUGGAAGCCUGGAGCAGGCCUGGGGAUAAUCACCCAGGGUCCAUUUCGAAAGAACAAACCAUGGAAAGCCAUGCUCACAAAUCAGUUAAGAACAAAGUAGUAAAUAACACAUCUUGAGAGUGAGCUCUGAGAAUUCCUCCCCGACUACGAAGCGGGGCACUGAGAUGGAGCUAGUGUGGACGUGCUCACGUCUUGGCUUCCAUUCAACCCAGAAGAACAGAGGAAAGAGGACUUCUUCCCGAAUGAUGAGAUUACACUGGACAACUUAAUGGAAAAUUCUCUGGUCCCGCUGAGGCAUUAAAUAGUUGGUUUCCACAUGGAAGCCUCCAUCGCAUGGGACAAGCCCUUGACAAACUGUUCCUUUGUUUUUGUUUUUUUUUUUGUUUUUUUUCUUCUUGGAAGUGUUAUGGGCAGAAAAUAAAAUGAACCAGAAAAGUUUUCCCCCAACUACUGCAUUGUCUCUGAGCUUCACCACUCAGCAGUAAGGACUCAGCUUAACGGGUGGAAGGACAAGAAAGUUCGAAGAUGGAUGAUGCUUUUGCAUGCAAUUAUAAUGGGAUAUUAAUUAUGUGUUUUUGAGUUGGCUAGAGUUAUAAAUGGUUCAUAUAGAAGGAGGGCCAGCUUUCUUUUUCAAUGUAUUUCAUCAUCACUGCUCUUCGCCAAGAAAAAUAAACCCCCUCCCUCUCUGGGGAUUAUCAGAUUCUCCUGAGAUUAUUAAGUAAUGGAAGAAAAUUUAAGCUCUGAGAGGUCAGAUUUGGGUAAUCUUGCACUCCCGAGCUGGCCGUUAGGUGCUCAGAUCACCCUAAGCUCCUGUGAAUUGAAACUGGCACCCCAAUGUCUGCCAUUGAUCCACUGAGCACACUUGCUACAAAUGUCAGGAUUUCACAUCGUAGAGUCUUCUACCAACUGGACGUGGCUGAGAAGCUGACGGUCACAAAAACCGCUAAUUUCAACUGGGUUGAGAAGUGCAUUGGCCGUACAGCACACUAUAUUUGACGGGAGACUGAGUCCAAAUCUCUCCCCGGAAACCCUCGCAGGUGGAAGUUGGGAGCUGGCCUGGGUAGUUUGCCUUUCAGUUCCAAGACUGUAUUUAGACCUUGCCCUAAGUUUAUGUCAAUCUUCUGGUUUGCUACCAUUUCCUUAACUAUUUCCAAGAAGAUCAAAAUACAGCCUUAAACAAGGAGCCUGGGAAAUACUAAAACAAAACAUGAGACUAGCUUUUGAUGAUUUCAAGACUAUUUUUGAAGAAGGAGCUCCAAUGAGACACCCAGAAACAACAGGGAAGGAUGCCCUUCAUUUUAUGUCAUGCCCUCAGCUCUAUGUUCCAGAGACAACACGUAGGCACCGCAUGUGAGUUUUUGGAUCUGGUGGGGCUUGAGAAAUAGCCACUGAGAGAUGGAGAAGUCUGAUCUCAAUGAUGAAUUUCCCUGCUUCAUUUCCUUCAUUAAGACAAACAACAAACAUAGUUUUUAAC
RNAcentral lists this long non-coding RNA (4658 nucleotides) under Canis lupus familiaris (dog). Its description in RNAcentral is "lncRNA (ENSCAFG00845030171.1)". The record is from RNAcentral. Lineage: Eukaryota; Metazoa; Chordata; Mammalia; Carnivora; Canidae.